UAAAGUAAUAAAUAAGAUUUCGGAGAUAAGAAUAAAUAAGAUAAAGUAUAAAACAGAUUUCAGAAAUUGAUAACAUUUUCGUUAUGGUGUAACAGAAAGUAAAUUGAUAAAUACAUUUUUAAUUGAUAUACAAGGUGUUCGGCUACAGGUGUCAAGAGAUUUAAGGGGUGAUUCUUGAAGCCGAAAUAAGACGAGAAUGAAAAAAUUUCAUUUUCGACUUUGUUUUUUAGUUACUGACAAUUAAUAAUCCGCCAAAAUACUCCUGCACGUGAGCAAACCUCCUUACACGAACGAAAAGAGGUGAAAGCAUUGGCAAAGAGUAUCGUAAAUUUUUCUUUCGUAAUGAACUCUCCAUUACUACAAUGCCGUGUUUUAGACAUUUUGAAGCAAGAGGUUAGAACAGUUUU
This 407-nucleotide unclassified non-coding RNA is filed under the name Bombus terrestris (buff-tailed bumblebee). RNAcentral describes it as "misc RNA ENSBTSG00005033125.1". The record is from RNAcentral. Lineage: Eukaryota; Metazoa; Arthropoda; Insecta; Hymenoptera; Apidae.